Molecule: long non-coding RNA, 1396 nt
Organism: Triticum aestivum (bread wheat)
Lineage: Eukaryota; Viridiplantae; Streptophyta; Magnoliopsida; Poales; Poaceae
Exons: 2
Source: RefSeq, a predicted model, not a curated record
AAGGAAAAAAAAGCAACAGGCACCAAAUAUCCACCGAUGUCACCGCCCACUGCGUGCCUUCUUAUCCACAACACAUCGCCAUUCCUCAUCACCCAAGCGCCGUUCCGCCACCAUCUUCCUCCUGCUGCCUGACCACCCAUCGUUGCUCCUCCUCUUCCUCUCCUCUUCUCCAUCCACCUCACCACCCAAGUGUUGCUCUCCUGUUCUUGGCAACGGUGGCUGGCCAGAGCCACAUCCCAGCUGCCAGCAUCGGUGUGCUUUCUGGCUACGGCUGGGGCGGCGGUGGCCUGCUCGUCGGCGCACUGGGGCCAAGGCGGAGCCUCCUCCCGUGCAGUGGUGGUGGUGGAGCCCCUCCUCCCGGAGGGUGGCUGGGGCAACCGGGGUUGCGGGGCAGGUGUGCAAUUGGCUCGGUUGCGCCAGAUCUGGCGGCCGGCCAGCACACACGGGGGCGGUCUGGUGGUGCUGCUCUUCUGCCGGUGGCCACGGAUGUGGGAGUGCCGAAGCUACCUCCGGUGAAAGCCCCCGGGCCCUGGUUUUCUCUUCCAUGAGCUGGUCUCUGUACCACGAAUUAAUAUGGGCAUCAAUUUUCUCUGUAUCUUCAGUUCGUCUCUCUCUCUCUCUCUCUCUCUCUCUCUCUCUCUCUCUCCUUCUUUAGGAUUAUUAUCUCAAAUGGCAAUUAAGCUGAGAUCUUUUUUCUAUUAUAUUAGGCUUGUCACCCAUGGUGCUUUUCUUUGGAUUCAUGCGCCUCUCCUCUCUGCCCAUUUUCGAUUGGUGACGCAUAUAAUACAUGCGGCAGGUCGCUUUCUUUAUUUCUCUAGGGUAAACAUGAACAUCUCAUCCUCUUUUUGUUGGCUUGUUGAUCUUGUAAUGCAUGAAUAUAUCUAAGUUGGUUGCAUUUGAUGUAAUAGAGCAGAGUGGGACUAUUAAUUGGCAGGCACAAGACUUGGUUCGUAAGGCAGGGAGAGCUGGUGAGGGUUGGGCCGCGCUGGGGAGAGGAGGGGCUGAAGCGGAACGGUGGUGCCGGUUGAUGCGAUCGCCGGCGUCCGCCGGACAGCGCGGCAGCGGAUUGAGGGUCGCGUGGGUCACGAGCCUCCUGGCGGCUGGGAUCUGGAGGCGAGGGAGAGAAAGAGUCGACGAUAUCCUUUUGGAUAUCUUCAUAGAAGAAACGAAAUCAUGAUAUCCGGGGAAGGCAAGGGAAAAUAGUGUAUGCUGUUUUUUUAUUUUGAAGAACAUGUCUUAGCCCUUUGAUUGAAAAUGUCAGAUGUAGAUGUGGUUUUGUGACCUACUACAAAUACUUCAUCCAUAUUCUGCUUAUAUAGAACUGCCUUGAUUCACAUGUGACUAGCUCUUUGCUUGGGCUAUUCUCCUCAAUAUUAUCAUAGUGUGUUCUUUUUCA